UCCAUUGAGCCAAAAUAUUACUGAGCUUGAAAAGGUUAAAAAAGGUCGAAAGAGGACAAGAGAAGAACCCAAACACCACCAGUCAUGCACAGCUCUGGGAGAUGAACCAAACAUGAUCUUAUGUAGAGAAAGAGUGGUAACAGGGACGCAGGAUUUCACCCUAACUGCUCCAUCAGAUCUGAGUCUUAAGGGCAGUACCUGCAGCCAGUCGGACGCCGCGGAUGUUUCAGUGGAGACAGCAGCGCAUGGAUGGUGGCAGCUCCCCAG
Long non-coding RNA from Melospiza melodia melodia, 267 nucleotides. RefSeq lists it as uncharacterized. The transcript has 3 exons. The record is from RefSeq and is a predicted model, not a curated record. NCBI's taxonomy places the organism in Eukaryota, Metazoa, Chordata, Aves, Passeriformes, Passerellidae.